This 997-nucleotide long non-coding RNA is filed under the name Nicotiana benthamiana. Its description in RNAcentral is "long non-coding RNA (NBEN_LNC033685)". The record is from RNAcentral. Lineage: Eukaryota; Viridiplantae; Streptophyta; Magnoliopsida; Solanales; Solanaceae.
UUAUAUAAAGGAUAAUACCAAGUAAGAUUAUAACUAACGCUUGUAUUAAUUAUAAAUAAAUCUAAAAAGUAUACCAAACAAAAUAUUUUUAAUACACAAAACUAAUACAUGCAUUAUUUGCAUUAAUGCACGACCUCUAAGUUUAGUGUCCACCGAAUUUUUGCGUACUUCAACUUACCUAUGUCUUUUACGUAUCAGCACGGAUAUAUUCUAUAUCUGGCCGUCAACACUUAGAUAAAUGGUAUAUUAAUCACUUAACAUAUUUCGGGUUGCUAAAAUUUAAAUAAUAACUUUUUAUAAAUUUUAUUCACUUUUAUUGAUCACUAAGUCACGUCUUGAAAAAAUAAUAGUAAGUAAAAUAUUACUAAAAUCUGUCUGUUCAUAUAUCUUUAUCUGUCCACGCAACAUUAUAAUGAUUCAAGAAUCAGGAUUGGCAAAAUCAAGUUUAUAUUUCAGUGUGACUAGAAAAGUGAUAUGAACAGUAUAUAAAUAGAAAGAUUUUAAUUUGAAGCUUGAGAAUAUGACUAAAAUCUAAACUAGUCCUGAAAUAGCACAAGUCAAGUUAUAAAAAAGAGAGUGAGACCAUCCAAUUGGGCCUUAUUAUAUACUGACAACAAAUUGAGCGCAAAAUCUUAUAAUAAUACGUCACUGGUCACUAUGAUCCUCCCCCGCAAAAUCUUGGUGGCUCAGCACUUUCUAUAGCAAAAUUAACCUUGUCCAUCACUAUGAUCCUCCCCCGCAAAGCUAUGAUCUUCAUUGGUUGAAUUCAGUGUAUUGGGGUUGACCUUUAGCUAUACGUGCGAAAAUAUAAGCUCCACGAUAUUUAAAUUUUGAAUUCGUCAUUUAAGUAAUAAGAAGAUGGAGGUUUUGGUGAGAUAGUGAAUAAACGAAGCAAAAUAUAUAUAGAUAAACGAGGGAUUCAAUUUUCUCAUAAGGGGCAACUUCUACGAAAAUAACAUCCUGUCUCGUUUACAUAUUAAUGCAUGCGUUAAAAAAU